RNAcentral lists this ribosomal RNA (1461 nucleotides) under Triticum aestivum (bread wheat). RNAcentral describes it as "partial small subunit ribosomal RNA". The record is from RNAcentral. Lineage: Eukaryota; Viridiplantae; Streptophyta; Magnoliopsida; Poales; Poaceae.
AUGGGGCUGGCAGCCAACCACCCCGUCGCUAUUGUCCAUUGUGCGAGGUUGGACACUUUUGCAACCCGCACGACUGGAGAUGACGGCCACCGGUGCUUCAACCGACUUACUCCUGGCGGGGGCCGGAUGCUACAACCAUUGGAUGGAGGAACCGCCUGGGAGCGAAGCUGCAUCCGUUCCCGGCGAAAGUGGCAUCCCUUCCCGGCGAAAGUUGCAUCCGUUACCGGUGAAAACUGCAUCCUGUCACCGGCGGCACCGCGACAACACGCGGGAGGUGUUGGAACCGGCUGCCGGAGGUGUUGCAUCCGUUUCCGGCGAAGCUACAGCCGGCGGUGCUGCAACCACAUUGAUCUAUGCUGGAACCAAACAGCCGUCGAAGUUGUUUUGCUAGCACCGACGAUUUGUUUUGCUGGAACCGAGCUUUUGUUGCUGAGGUUUUUUGCUGGGAAAAUGGUGGUGCCAGCCGACGACGGCGGCGAGCUAGAUGCGGCAGCCCUGAAGAUGUUGCAGACCACGACGAGCACGCGCUGGAACCAGUCGGUGGGAGAGGUGCAGUCGUCACCGAUCGAAGCUGGAACCACCGGCGGCCGUGUUGAAUCUCGCCGGCGAUGGCGAGACGGCGAAUGUCGUCGACGAUAUAGCAGCCUGCACGGCAGUUAUAUUUUUCAAUUAUCGGUCAAUGGUGCUACGCCCAUAUCAGCGGCCCUGCUUGCCCCUCGGAUUCUUCAUCCUAACCAGACGAUGUUCACCAAGGGACGAUAUAUUUUAGAUGGGAUCCUCGUCCCGCACAAGGUCCUUCAUGAGGUUAAAAGGAAACACCUACGCGCGAUUUUCUUUAAGAUUGAUGUCCAUAAGGCAUAUGAUACAAUCCACUGGUCCUUCCUUCGGGAGGGCAUCUGCCCGCACCUCAUUGGAGAAGGGGGACUUACCCACCUUAAGUACGCGGAUAACACAAUCCUGAUGGUCGAAGGCUCAGACCAGGACAUUCAACAUCUUAAGUUCCUCCUCCCGUGCUUCCAAGAAAUGUCGGUAUUGACAAUAAACUUCACGAAUAGCAAAGUGAUGGUGUUAGGCUACAUCGCGGAGGAAUCCCUCCGCAUAGCCAAUCGACUUAAUUGUCGACAAGGAUCAUUCCCAACUACCUAUCUCAGCUUGUCGAUUAGUGAUUCUCGUCUCCAGGAAAAGGACCUCUGCACUACUGUAUCCAACGUUCAACAUCGAGUCGAACCAUGUCAAGGCUUGCAUGAAUCCCUUCUUCAGCAAAUUGCCAUAUACCUGUCCAGAUUCCUCUGGGCAAGGCAGGGUGAUCGGCAGAAAUACCACCCGGUUAAAUGGUUUGAGAUAUGUAAGCUCAAGGACCAGGGCGGCCUGGGGGUCAUCUCCUCGAAGCGAAUGAAUAUCACCCUUCUAUCCAAGUGGCUGUGGUUCAUUAAGACCGGUGAAAGGGGGAUUGUGGUUUGA